This 274-nucleotide ribosomal RNA is filed under the name uncultured bacterium. Its description in RNAcentral is "partial 16S ribosomal RNA". It matches the Rfam family "Bacterial small subunit ribosomal RNA", at positions 523 to 796 of the family's 1533-position model. The record is from RNAcentral.
AUACGAAAGGUGCGAGCGUUGUUCGGAUUUACUGGGCGUAAAGCGAGUGUAGGUGGUUUGUUAAGUCGGAUGUGAAAUCCCGGGGCUCAACCUCGGAACUGCAUUCGAUACUGGCAGGCUAGAGUUCGGGAGGGGUAAGUGGAAUUCCGUGUGUAGCAGUGAAAUGCGUAGAUAUACGGAGGAACACCUGAGGCGAAGGCGGCUUACUGGACCGAUACUGACACUGAGACUCGAAAGCGUGGGUAGCAAACAGGAUUAGAUACCCUAGUAGUCC